RNAcentral lists this long non-coding RNA (19435 nucleotides) under Nicotiana benthamiana. Its description in RNAcentral is "long non-coding RNA (NBEN_LNC029170)". The record is from RNAcentral. Lineage: Eukaryota; Viridiplantae; Streptophyta; Magnoliopsida; Solanales; Solanaceae.
UGUAUUACGCAUUACCAGAGGACAGGUAACUUUGACUAUGAAAAAAGAAGAAGCUGCUUCAGAGUUGGACUCAAAGCUCAACCAGGGUGUUGUCCAUUUGGCGACAAAUCCUUUCGUUUUGGCUUUCCGUAGCAAUGAAGAAAUCUCUUCAUUUCUGGAUGAGAGGGAAAAAGAGGAGGAGCUAGCUGAACAACCAAAGGAAGAUGCAGUGUUUUGGCUUUCCGUAGCAAUGAAGAAAUAUCUUCAUUUCUGGAUGAGAGGGAAAAAGAGGAGGAGCUAGCUGAACAACCAAAGGAAGAUGCAGAGGAAGCAGAUGUGGCGGCUGAUAAGACGGAUGUCUUGCCUGAAACUACAGGCAAUGAGGAAGAAUCAGUCAAUGCUGCAAUUGAUGGUUUUCCUGAAACUAUAGAUGACGAGGAUACAAAACAAAACAUUGAUGAAGAAGUGGAGUCAGUUUCUGAAAAUGCUGAGGCGUCACCUGUUGGAGAUGCUGUGGAACCUGAAGCUGAAACUGGCUCAUCUGAGCAAAUGGCUGAUCAGAUUUCAGCAUCUGAAACUGUGGCUGGCGAGGAGGUUGUGGAGAAACUAACUGAUGAUGCAGUAGCGAAAAAUGAGGUUGAAACUCAAAUAGCAAGUGUCACAGAAGCUGCCAAAGAAACAGAGGAAACUAGUGGCAUUGAGAAUGGAAGUAUACCAAGCCCAGCUGGACAAUCUGAAGCUCCUUUGGAGAAUAGCAAGGAUGAAGGUUUCUACUAUGAAACUUUCCUAGUUCCCCUCUGAUUUAUUACUCAUUUCACAUCCUUGCUUCUUGCAUGCAUGUUCAUGACAAACAACCAGAUACAAGUAUUACAUUGUGAGCCACCAAAUGUGUGAUUCCAAAAUAAGGUGUUGAUGCAUGAUAUACGUACACUUUACAAUUUAUGACAAAAACCAGAUACAAGUAUUACAUUGCUGAGCCGCCAAAUGUGUUAUUCCAAAAUAAGGUGUUGAUGCAUGAUAUACGUGCACUUUACAUGUUAUCUGUGGAAAAGAUGGAUGGUAAGAAAAGGAACUUCUAGUAUAGUUCAUGUUAAAAGUUUGGUAUAUUAUUCUUCUGUUGCUUCAUCCUAUUGCAUCUUUGUCAGUCCUUACACAGCUCCAGUUUUACGUAUAGAGUGCUUUCUUUUGACCAACACAUGUGCUUUUAGGUUUGACUGACAUAUUGAGAGAGAAUCAUCUUCUUGCUUUGGGCAAAUCUUGAAAUUUACUUAAGGACAUAAUGUCGUGUUAUGUGAGAAAGACAAAUUAAUGACGUGUCACCAAUAAACUAGCUGAGAAUCCAAUUUUUGCAUACAGUAAGUCAGGAAGGUGCUGAAGUAGUGGAGAGUAAAGUUGAAAAUACUCCUUCCAUAGAGGACCAAUCAUCUGAUACAGCUGCUCAGCAGGAAGAGGUGGCUACCGCUGCUGAGCAAGAUAGAAAUGUUGCGAACUCAAGUGAGCAAAAUGGGACUGCUUCAUCAAAUGAAGCCGCAGCAAAAGGUUUUGCCUUAAAUUUCCCUUUCUUUUCUGGAAUAUAGCUUCCAUUAACAUGUUAAAGCGGAAGUAAGAAUCUCUAGAGUAAAUUUUGUGGAUCUAGUUGCCAAACAUUUGUUUAGUGAGUAUGAUAUGAAAAUUUCAGCACCGAGCGCUGUAAUAAUUGUGCGACAAAUAUUUAGAAGCUUGUUGCAUCCAGAACGGGUGGAUGUCUGCCUACUACUUGGAGAAAGACGUCGAAUUAGAGGAUAGUCAUUUUUUACACAUGUACACCGGACUGCAUGCUAAAUGUGUGUCUUAAAAUGUGAGCCGGAAAAACUCGCGUUCUGGUUAUAAAGUGCAGCUACAUUUAGUUGUUUCAUUGUUCGUUAAUUGAAGUGGUAAACAUCUUUUUUUUUGUGAGCAAGAUAGAAAUGUUGCAAAGUCAAGUGAGCGAAAUGGGACUGCUUUAUCAAAUGAAGCCGCAGCAAAAGGUUUUCCCUUUCUUUUCUGGAAUAUAGCUGUCAUUAACAUGUUAAAGUGGAAAUAAGAAUCUCUAGAGUAAAAUUUGUUGAUCUAGUUGCCAAACAUUUCUAUUAGUAGGUAUGAUAUGAAAAUUUCAACACUGAGUGCUGUAAUAAUUGUGCGACAAAGAUUUAGAAGCUUGUCACAUCUGCAAAGGGUAGCCAUUUACCUACUACUUGAAGAAAGACGUUGCAUUAGAGGAUAGAUUUUUUACACAUGUACACCUACUGUAUGCUCCAGCUACGUUUAGUUGUUUCUUUGAUCAUUAAUUGAAGUGGUAAACAUCAUUUUUUUCCAUGGCAUUCAGAGUUUUUGAUGAAGGAGACUCCAAAUUGAAGAGAACUUCUUCUCUCUACCUGCGUUGUACUUAUAAAUCUCAAAUCUAUCUUUAUUUGAUCCCAAAUAAUUCGUCCCCAGGAAUGGUAAAAUUUGCUCGUUCUACUGCCUUCAUCAUUCGAUUUGGGAGUAUGAAAACACUAACGAUGAGAUUUGUGCUACAAUCCCUGCUCAUUGAAUCUUUAGUCAGAGUAGAUUCUUUCUUCUUUAUCUUUUUUCCUUAUGGAAUAAAAAAAGAAUCUAGUGUCACUAAAGAUAACAGAUUGCAGGCUUCACCCUUACAAGAAAUCUAAACCAUUAUAUAGCUUAUCCAAACAACUACUACUUCCACUACUUCUACGCACAAUCCCAAGCUAGUGGGGUCAGAGGGAGAAGAGAGAGAGAGGGAGAGGGAGAGGGAGAGAGAGAGAAAGAGAGAGAGAGAGAUAAAUUUCCUUAUUGUGUCACAAAAGGUCAAACUUGUGGAAAGUCUUGACUUAUGAAUAUAAAUUUUGACAGUGAGGAUGGGUGAUGUCUAUAUUUAACGUUACAGGUUGUUGAAAUGUGAGUGGAUCACUAGUUUGCCUUUGUAGGUGAAAUCUGUGGUUUUCUAAAAUUUAACCUAUUCAUUUCUUCCUGAUCCUACCCUUUUCAGUCCAUUUAAAAUCUGUUAAUGGGAUUAGUUAUGUUCAGAUACUUUAUUACCGUUGUAUGGCCAUCCAACAUCCUCUGAUUUCUUUAUCUCUUGACCUCUUUUUUGUUGCCUCUCUGCCCUUUCGGGUAGGGGUAAGGCUCGUCUACAUAUUACCCUCCCCGGACCCCACCNNNNNNNNNNNNNNNNNNNNNNNNNNNNNNNNNNNNNNNNNNNNNNNNNNNNNNNNNNNNNNNNNNNNNUGUUACCCUCCCCGGACCCCACCUGGUGGGAGUAUACUGGGUAGUUGUUGUUGUUGUUGUUGUUGUUGUUGACCUUCUUUUUGUUGGUCUAAUUGACUUAUUCUGCCAAGCUAUCUCUUUGUAAUGCGAGUUUGGAUAAACUGAAGUAAAGUAAAACUGUCAUCCAUCAUAAUUAUUAGAUGGUACUGUUAUAGAGAAAUACUACUUCCAAAUGCACGCCUGCUCCACUAAAUCCUGCCCCUCCGUGGUAUUGUGGCAGCUAUUUCACCUGCUCUUGUGAAACAAUUGCGUGAAGAGACAGGGGCUGGAAUGAUGGACUGCAAGAAUGCUCUUUCAGAAACUGGAGGUGACAUUAUUAAAGCGCAGGAGUAUCUCAGGAAAAAGGGGUUGGCAAGCGCUGAUAAGAAAUCAAGUAGAGCUACAGCUGAAGGUAGAAUUGGCUCAUACAUCCAUGACAGCAGAAUCGGUGUCCUGAUAGAGGUUAACUGCGAGACAGAUUUUGUAUCGCGUGGUGACAUUUUCAAGGAAUUAGUUGAUGACUUAGCCAUGCAAGUCGCUGCAUACCCCCAGGUGCAGUAUCUUGUUCCAGAAGAUGUUCCAGAGGAGAUCAUCAACAAGGAAAGAGAAAUCGAGAUGCAGAAGGAAGACCUAUUGUCAAAACCUGAGCAGAUCAGAUCCAAGAUUGUUGAUGGGCGGAUAAAUAAGAGGCUUGAAGAACUGGCCUUACUGGAGCAACCUUACAUCAAGAAUGAUAAAUUGGUUGUAAAGGACUGGGUCAAGCAGACAAUCGUUGAUGGCCGGAUAAAUAAGAGGCUUGAAGAACUGGCCUUACUGGAGCAACCUUACAUCAAGAAUGAUAAGUUGGUGGUAAAGGAUUGGGUCAAGCAGACGAUUGCAACGAUUGGUGAAAACAUCAAAGUGAAGAGAUUUGUGAGAUACAACCUGGGAGAGGGUCUUGAAAAGAAGAGCCAAGACUUCGCAGCAGAGGUGGCUGCUCAAACAGCAGCUAAACCUGUCGCCUCACCCGGAAAAGAGCAAUCUGCUGUUGAAGCCAAGGAGACGACUGUUGAGUAAGUUUCUAAUUUCUUGAGAAUCACUUCUUACCAAUUUAUUACGUUUCUUCAUUCUCUGAGCAACCAGAAAUGUGUAUAACUUCUUGACGACUCAGAUUAUAAUUUCCCUUUUUCAGUUGUUACUCAACUUUUCAUUAUUAUAUGGAAGUUUCAGUUUUCUGCAAUGUUUUUAGAUUCAAAAAGUGCUUAUGCUCUGUUUUAGACUCAAAAAGUGCUUAUGCAGUCUUCUAAACCUAAGCACACAUUUUACUUAAUCUAUUUCACAUAAAAUAUGGUUCCAGCAGCAUUAUGGGAGAGGUAAUCUGAAAUAUGUAUCAGAGUUUGUUUUUCUCAUCUUAUUCUAUGCUGAUAUUUUAUCCUCAACUGUUUUGAACCCCCAAAAACCGUAUAUUUUUUAUCUCUCAUGAUUAGUUUCUGUUUAAUGGAUGUUAAUGCAGGCCUCCAAAAGCAGCAGUUUCAGCCGCUUUGGUUAAACAGCUGCGAGAAGAAACUGGUGCUGGGAUGAUGGAUUGCAAGAAAGCUCUCUCCGAAACUGGAGGGGAUCUUGAAAAGGCACAAGAAUACCUCCGAAAAAAGGGUCUUUCGACUGCCGAUAAGAAGUCCAGCCGACUUGCUGCUGAGGGGAGGAUUGGUUCCUACAUUCAUGACUCCCGAAUUGGUGUGCUAAUUGAAGUUAAUUGUGAAACCGACUUUGUGGGGAGAAGUGAAACCUUUAAGGAAUUGGUCGAUGAUUUGGCAAUGCAAGUUGCAGCCUGCCCACAGGUGCAGUUUGUAUCAAUUGAUGAGAUUCCAGGAAGCAUUGUCAACAAGGAAAAGGAGUUGGAAAUGCAGAGAGAAGAUCUUAAGAACAAACCUGAAAAUAUAAGGGAGAAGAUUGUUGAGGGCAGGGUCUCGAAGAGGCUUGGAGAGCUUGUUCUUUUGGAGCAGCCUUUCAUAAAAGAUGACAGUGUUUUGGUGAAGGAUUUGGUAAAGCAAACUGUUGCCGCCCUUGGAGAGAACAUAAAAGUUAGGAGGUUUAUCCGAUUUACUUUAGGCGAGGAAGCCAAAGAAGCCAAGGAAGAAGGAAUAAUUGAAGAGACAGCUGCUGUAUGAAGUUAACUCUAACUUGGGAUGCUGGAUAUAAGCAAGCAGACGUCCGAUUUACUCUAGGCAAGGAAGCCAAGGAAGAAGGAAUAAUUGAAGAGAUAGCUGCUGUAUGAAGUUAACUCUAACUUGGGAUGCUGGAUAUAAGCAAGCAGAAGAUGCAUAGGAAGACUUUCCACUUCUGGAGAUAGAGCAAGUUUACAUCAAAUUGAGCUAUUUUUGUAUCCGAGUAUAAUGUUGUCAUACUUGAUGUGCUGUGAGGCGAUUAGUUUUCAUUUUUUUCUCCUUUUUCCUUUUCUCUUAUAUUUACUGGUUAUGUAACUGUUAUAUUAUCAUCAGAAACUAGGAUUUCGGACGCCAUUUUGAAGCAAGAUGUCAAAGGAGAACCAUCAGAGGCAAUUUUAGUGAGUUAAUUUUUUCAGCAUUGGAGUUACUAAUGCUCCUUUGUUUUUUGUAUUUAUUUUUGUUUUUCCUUUCCUUUACUGAGCCGAGGGUCGAUUGGAAACAACCUCUCUGCCGUUUCGGGUAGGGGUAAGGCUCGUCUACAUAUUACCCUCCACAGACCCCACUUUGUGGGACUAUACUGGGUAGUUGUUGUUGUUGUUGUUUUGUUAUUCCACUCUAAUAUAUAUCAAAUAGUAUACUUCUGUGCUUUAGACAAGAGGGGUUGCUCUGAUGGUAAGCAACCCCCAUUUCCAACCGAGAGGUUGUGAGUNNNNNNNNNNNNNNNNNNNNNNNNNNNNNNNNNNNNNNNNNNNNNNNNNNNNNNNNNNNNNNNNNNNNNNNNNNNNNNNNNNNNNNNNNNNNNNNNNNNNNNNNNNNNNNNNNNNNNNNNNNNNNNNNNNNNNNNNNNNNNNNNNNNNNNNNGAGCAAUAUGGGAAGUUCUUGGAGGGAAGGAUGCCGGGGGUUUAUUUGGAAACAGCCUUUCUACCACAGGGUAGGGGUAAGAUCUGCGUACAUACUACCCUCCCCAGACUCCACUAAGUGGAAUUAUACUGGGUUGUUGUUGUUAUUGUUGUAUACUUCUGUGCUGAUAUUUGGAUUUUGUGCCUGCUUUUGACAUUUGUGCAAAUAUGGUCCAAGUUUAUCGAAAAUAUUAGGACUAAUAUACUCUCAAGUUACACUAACUGCAUGAACAAGAACUUUUGCAAGCCGCCGCUCGGCCACUUCAACAUAACGAUGAUGAAGCCUUUGAAUAGAACCUGCAGGCAUGAAAUGCAGUGCUCCCGGCAAAAGGAACAUCAAUACAAAACGAAAGCUGAAACUGAUAAUAUAAUAAUUAAAAGUAACUAGAAAGUCAAAGAUGAUAUUAAGAUAUGCUUACCUAAUGAUACAUACUCAACUCUCUCAAUAUAGUAAGUAAAAUAGUAGCCCGACCCUAUAAAGCUCGGUACUAGGCUGUAGUAAGCUCUUGCGUCGGCGCUUGGUCAUACUAGGCUCAGUAUUGCAGUCAUUCUGGACUCUCUCAUGAGCGCUCGACCACAAUAGGCUCGGUAUAUAACUUAUCAUCUGAUCAAUAGUUGCCCCAUAGGGGCGAACUGCCACGACAAAAAAUCCGGCUAGGCUGAUGGAACCUAACCCAACCCGCUAGGUAAGCCAAAUAAUAGACAACACAACUCCAAUAGGAUAACAAGAAUCAAUAAAUAAAAUAAUAAAGCUUUCUAUACAAAAUUCCAAGGAUAGGUGGUACAAGUCGUGAGCUUCUAGGACUUAGAAUUUACAAAGCUGGUAAGAAAUAAAUACAUCAUCUAUUCGAAAUAUACAUAAACAGAUUUAUUAAAUUAACGAUACCAAGAGCAAGAGAUAGCUAUAAUAAGGACGCAGGUACAUCUUCAAUAUAGUUCCCACCAUAUGUAAAUACACGGCCGGUCGUUUUGAGAGUAAUAGAUUCUGUCCUUAUUUACUACUUUUCCCGCAUCUUUUUAAGCUUAGGUGACUUGCUGGGAAGUUUUGUUUGUGUUUUUGGAGUUAUUUGGGACAUUUAGUCCCUAAAACGAAAGCUUAAGUUCUAGCCUUUUGACUGUAGUUGGAGCUGUGUGAAGAUGACUUUGGAAUAGAGUUCCUCGGUUCUGUUAGCUCCGUUAGAUUAUUUUGGGCUUAGGAGCAUGUCCAGAUUGCGAAUUGGAGGUCUGUAGUUGAAUAACGCUUGAAAUGGCGAAAGUUAAAUUUUUGGGAAAUUUGAUCGGAAGUGUACUUUUCGAUAUCGGGGUCGGAUUCCGAUUAAGAAAGUUAGAAUAGGUCUAUAAUGUCAAAUAUGACUUCUGUGCAAAAUUUGGGGUCAAUCGAUAGGUUCGGCAUCGGUUGUAGAAGUUUUAAUUUUCAAUCAUUAAAUAUGGAUUAACGUGAUUCUAUUUUUGUUGUUGUUUGAUGUGAUUUUAGGGCAUGACCAAGUUCGAGUCGUAUGGUAUUUUGGCACUUGUUGGUAUGUUUAGUUAAGGUCCCGGGGGUCUUCGGUGGAUUCGAGGCUGUUAACGGACUAGUUUUGGACUUGAUGAAAUUGCAGAAAAAUCUGGUGUCCAGUUGCUGGUUUCCUUCUUCGCGUUAGCGAGCUGGUGGCGAGGAGAGAUAUUGUGCUUUGCGUUAUCAAAUUCGGAGUCGUGUUCAUGAAGAUAUGUUCAGUGGUGCAUCGUGAACGCGUGAAGAGUUUCGUGUUCGCAUAGAGGAAGUAGAGCAGCUGGGAACUCAAGGCAUUUGUUCAACAUGUUCGUGUAAUAGGUGUUGCAUUCGCGAAAAGGUGGGUCAAUCAUGCAUCACAUUCGCUUGAUGGUCCUCGUGUUUGUGUAGAAGGACUUUUGCUUAGUAGCUAUUUGUGUUAAGCGAACACGAGAGUGGGGCCGCGUUAGCAAAGAAGGAAUUAGCUGCGCAACAGUAUAUAUUUCAAAAACAAGGGUUUUGCCAUUUUUAUUAAAACUUGAGAUAGAGAGCUCAGAUUUGGAUGAAAUUGUGGGGAAUUUUCAAGGGAAUCGAUUAGGUAAUGAUUAUUCUCUUGUUUUUGGUUAUAUCCUAUUAAUCUAUCAUUAGUUUCAUCUUUUAACUUAAAAUUUGGGUUCCGAAAUUUGGUAAAAAGUGGAAGAAGUUCUUGAAGAAACCUUUUGGGUUUUGAUUGAUAUUUUUGUAUCGGUUUUGUGUGAUUUUGGUUCGAGUAAACUCGUGAUUGAAUGUGUGUUCGUAUUUUGUGAUUUUUACUCGAUUCUGAGAUAUGGGCCCGGCUUGACUUUUUUCGGCGAUUUUCAAAAUUUUUGUUAAAGUCUUGAUUUCAUUAAUUAAAUUAGUUUAUUAUAGUUGUAUUUAUAGUAUGUAAUUGUUUUUGGCUAGAUUUGAGUCACUCAGUGUUGGAAAAUCGAGGAAAACGCGUUCUUGUUGAUUAAUUGAGCUUGGCUCGAGGUAAGCGUCUUGCCUAACCUUGUGUGGGGGAAAUCCCGUUAUGAAUUCGUUCUGUAGUCAUACUUCUAUGAUAUGUGAGUGCCAUGUACGCGGGGUAACGAGUGCGUACACGGGCUAAUUAUUGUGAAACCCGAUUUUACAUUGAGCAGUAACAUGUUAUGUCUUUAUUGAGCUAUCCCCGCAUGGGUGGUUAUCCUAUUAGCUUAAUAUCACACGUCUAUGUGCUUUAAAUGCCUAUUUGUAAUUUGUGCAGCAUGCUUAGUUGAUUUUACUAUUUUUCCUUGACUCGUAUUUAGUCUUAAAAUAUAGGAUUUCUUGCUGUUAAUUGUUGUUGCUAUUGAUUUCAAGUUUUGUGUUUACUUUUACGACUACAAGGUGACACCUCGGGAGAUCCCCUUGUAUAUUUACUUUUGUGUCUACGAGACAGCAUAUCGGGAGUGCCCCCGUUGUUUACCUCUAUGUGUUGUGUUGUUAAUUAUAUGUGAAUUCUCUUUUUUUUCGUUAAAUUCUCAGUCUUUCAUCAUGUUGUUAUAUCUUCUCUCUUAUUUUUAUAUCCUAGUAGGGACCGGACCGAACCUCAUCACUACUCUACCGAGGUUAGGCUUGAUACUUACUGGGUACCAUUAUCGUGUACUCAUGCUACUCUUUUGCACAUGUUUUGUGUGCAGAUCAAGGUACAUCCUACCGGGCCCACUAUUAGUUGCGCACUUGCUGCUGCUCUAGAGACUUCAAAGUAUAUCUGUCAACGUCCGCAGACCUCGGAUGCUACUCUUUUGCACAUGUUUUGUGUGUAGAUCAAGGUACAUCCUACCGGCCCCACUAUUAGUUGCGCACUUGCUGCUGCUCUAGAGACUUCAAAGUAUAUCUGUCAACGUCCGCAGACCUCGUAGUCCCUUUAUCCCCUCUAUGUUGUCCCUCCUUUAUUUCUUCUUGUUACAAAUGUAUAGAAAAAGUUAGACAAAUUCUUAGAGCUUGUGGCAUGAUUAUCGGCUCUUGGGAAUAUUGUUAAUACUCGAGUGGUGGUUUACUUGUACAGUACGAGUAGCAUUUUAUCGGGAGAUCCCCUUGUAUAUUUACUUUUGUGUCUACGAGACAGCAUCUCGGGAGUGCCCCUGUUGUUUACCUCUAUGUGUUGUGUUGUUAAUUAUAUGUGAAUUCUCUUUUUUUCGUUAAAUUCUCAGUCUUUCAUCAUGUUGUUAUAUCUUCUCUCUUAUUUUUAUAUCCUAGUAGGGACCGGACCGAACCUCAUCACUACUCUACCGAGGUUAGGCUUGAUACUUACUGGGUACCAUUAUCGUGUACUCAUGCUACUCUUUUGCACAUGUUUUGUGUGCAGAUCAAGGUACAUCCUACCGGGCCCACUAUUAGUUGCGCACUUGCUGCUGCUCUAGAGACUUCAAAGUAUAUCUGUCAACGUCCGCAGACCUCGGAGUCCCUUUAUCCCCUCUAUGUUGUACCUCCUUUAUUUCUUCUUGUUACAAAUGUAUAGAAAAAGUUAGACAAAUUCUUAGAGCUUGUGACAUGAUUAUCGGCUCUUGGGAAUAUUGUUAAUACUCAAGUGGUGGUUUACUUGUACAGUACGAGUAGCAUUUUAUCGGUUUUAUUGCUAUGAAUUGAAGUUAGUUGUUAAAUUCUGCUUUUAUUUCUGUUAUUCUGCAAAUUGUUAGGCUUACCUGUUGUAGAUACUAGAUGCCAUCAUGACAUCUUACGGAGGGAAUUUUGGGUCGUGACACAUACUCAUCAACAUCAGCUCCAAAAUCUGUUCACAAGGUGUAGAAGUGCAGCAUGAGUACAACCGGCCCCAUGUACUCAAUAAGUAACAAAUCUAACCUUAGAUUAAAAGCAGGGAUGAGCUCGAGAAAAGGUCAAUGUCCAACACCAAUAGCUAAUAUCAACUCAUAAUAUUACAAUGGAGGAAGUAAAAGUAAUUUCUCAAAAGAUAGUAUUCUCAACUUGUUCACAAUUAUGAAAAGGUAGAGACGUUUUCCAGGUAUAACUGUCAAGUCUAGAUAUUACAACUAAAAUUCAUCUAAACUUGAGUUUAUCAAUAGAACUGUAUUUCCAAUUCACAACACCAGAUAAGAAUUUCUGUAUACCAAUUAGCACGAGGAAAGUAUGUCUAUAUACCUAUAUAUCAAUAUACAUGUCAAGUCAUCAAUUAUUAUAUACCGUCUAGCAUGAGAAAUAUACAUCUCUAUGGCUACAUGUCAAAUCAUGAAUGUCACAGUACUGUCUAGCAUGAGGAAGAUGCAUCUCUAUGCUUUAGCAUCAAAUGAACGAUUUCAAUAUGAUAUUCCCACGUACUAUUACCCUUAACAUACUCAAGGUGUCUAUCUCAAUUUCCCACUUCAUCAUACACACAAACAAUCACUCAACAUUGUAUGGGUGCCUGGCUAAUAAGCCCCUCACCGAAGCACGUGUACACCUAUCAUUGUGUCUACGCUAAUUGCUGGUAUGUCAGACUCCGAAAAGGCGUAUCCUACCAAAGUGCUUAUAUAAAUCCAAUAAGGCCUACUAUGGCAUGCAGCCCGAUCAACAAUAAUAAAUAAUAGUAAAGCUAAUAUGGCUUAUUGCGACAUAGCCCAAUACACAAUAAUCACUCAUAACACGGUUCUCAAGCCCGCUUCAGUCAUCAAUCUCUCAAGUCUCAAGGGCUCACAAAUCUCAUAUAACUCAACCUAAAAAAUGAUAAUAUGUUAUGUAACAAUGAAGGAUGAACAAAGAUUGAGAUGUGAUAUGCAAAUGAUGAACCAUGACUGAGUAUAUGUAAUUGCAGUUAAUGAAAAUAACUCAAAACAAUAGAAAUAACCUCACUACGUCUCAAGUUAAUAAGCACAUAGCCUAAAUAUGACUUUUAACAUGAAUCACAUCUCAAUUACUCUAGCAAGUAAGGAUUUUAUGGAUAAAACAAGAUAAGAGGAACACAAGUACGGUCAUAGUCUAAUAGUUAACUUGAAUCAUGUUUACCCGGUUCACGCCCAUAGGCUCGUCAUCUAACAUGUGUGUCACCUCCAUACAUCUCUUAUAACAUAGUUCCUUGGGUUAAAUAUCCUAAAAUCCAAGUUUAGAUACGUUACUUACCUCGAUCAAGCCAAAUCCAAUACCAAGCAAGCCAAACAACACUCUAGAAACGCAAUCAAAUGCAAAUCAACCUUAUGUGACUCGAAACUAGACAAAGGCAACCCAAAAAUAGCAAAUAAUACCUAAAGAAACAAUACCAAAUGAUAAACAUCAAAUCUUAACUCAUUUUUUCAAAUUCAACAAAAAAGUCAAACCCAUGCUCAAACCUCGGAACCCGACAAAAUUCACAAAAUAUGACAACCCAUUCCAUUACAAAUCCAUCCGUACAAAUUUCACUCGAAUCCGACUCCUAAUCGAUGUUCAAAACUCAAAAUUUUACUUUAGGACAGAUUAGACAAAACCCCCAAAUUUCUCUUUUGGAUUUUUCAAUCAAAUGCCAAUCGGAUAUAGAAUCAUGGAAUAUAAUAAAAACCGAUUAGAAAAUACUUAACUUCAAUCCAUAUGGUGUAAAUUGCCUCCAAAAUUUCCCAAAUUCGAGCUCCAUAGCUCAAAAUAUGAUAAAAUGUGCGAAACCUUUGAAAUAGAGUACUUAUAAUCACUAAACAACAAUACCCAUCGCAAUCGCAGGAUUUCAUUUGCGAUCGUGAAUAACAAAUGCUACUGCCACCAAAACGCUUUUUGUGUUCAUGAUACUGGUCAUGCAAACUUGAUGACCACUGACACCAAGGCUUCACGAAUGCGAUAAGACUUAAGCGAACGACAUUAAAAGUACACCAGCCCCUAACUCUCCUUCGUGACUCUACGUGAACGCGGUAUUACUAUGCAACCACGAUGAUCAAUCAUCACAAAGCUUUGCGAAUGUGACCACAAGUCCGCAAACAUGAUAAAGAAAUUACCCAGCCCCACAUUUUCGAUCGCGGUGCUUUGUAGAUACAGAAGAAAUCAGCAAUACAAAAACCAUCUAAAACAAUCCGAACCACGUCCGAAACUAACCCGAGCACCUUGGGACACCGUACGAAUAUACCAACAAGUUCCGAAACAUAACACAUACCUACUUAAGUCCUCAAAUCAUACAAACAGCACCAAAAUUAUGAAUUGCACCUCAAAUCAAACUUUAUGAACUUCUGAAGUUUCAACUUCCAAAACUCAUAUCGAACCAUAUCAAAUCAACCCAGAAUGACCUCAAAUGUUGCAUACGAGUUCCAAAUGAUAUACCGAAGCUAUUCCAAUUCCCAAAACCACAAUGUGAACCCGAUAACAUCAACUUCAACUCCCGGCCAAACUUAUGAACAUUCCAAACCUUGAAAUUUCCAACUUUCUCCAAAUAGUACAGAAACCUUCUAGAAAAAUCAAAAUGCAAAUCCGAGCAUAUGCUUAAGUCCAAAGUCACCAUCCCAACCUAACAUAACCAUAAUCCGAUCCAAAGUCAAAUACACAAAAGUCAAACUUGGUUAACUCUUCCUAGUUGAGAAUUAUUCUUCUAAAUCAAUCUCGAAUCAAUUGAAAAUAAAACCCGAUGCACAUAAGUCAUAAUACAUCAUCUGAAGGUACUCAAGACUUGAAAUAACUUAAUGGAAAAGUAAAUUCCCAAAAACUACCGGUUGGGUUGUUACAUUUGUAAAGACCCGUAAAAAUUUCUUGCUUAAAAUAAUGUCGGGUUGGCCCCUGUGUUGUUAUAACUGUAGAAACGUACCCCGAAAGUUGAAAGGUAAAAUUUUCCAAAAAAAUGGACGUUAUACGACGCACUAUUCGAUCGCAUAACGAGUAUGCAAGCCGCAUAAUAGUCGCAUACAUUGGCAGGCCACUGUCCAAUCGGAAGACAACUGUGCAGUCUAGAAUGUGAUCACAUUUUGGUUAUGCGGACCACAUAGAUAUCGCAUUUUUCUCAUUGAGUUUUUGUGAGGGAGGUUAUGCGACGCACUAUGCGAUCGCAUAACGUGUAUGCGGACCGCAUAAUGGUCGCAUACCUCCACCAUUUGUUUUAAUUAUUGGCCAAUUUUUGAGGGCCAUUAUGCAAUUGGUCUGUGGACUGCAUGUCAGGAAAGUGAUUGCAUUCUUGACCACACUCUGCAUCGGGGAUCCUAUUUUUCUAAUUUUUCAACCCGACCCCUUCUUCAAUAAAACACCUCAACACUUCAUUUUAACCCAUUUUCUGAAUAAAACUAGAGAUAGGGAAGAGAGGGUUAUGGAGAGAGGAAGUCUUAUCUCCAUCAACUUGAUUUUCAAUGUCUCCCAGGUCAGGAAAUUUUGAGUAAUUAUCUUCUUCUUCGUUCUUGUAGGUAAAAUCUCCAACCCUUUUUCAUUUGGUUUUCAGAUUUAAACAAAAAAGAGGGUUCUCGUGAAUAUAUUCUUAAAAAUAUAAGUUGAACCAUGCAUGCAUGUACCUUAAUACCUAAAAUAUAGUAAGAGGAAUUGGGUAGGAGUAAAGAUCUGCAAAAAGGAGGCGCUUAUAAUCUAAGUGAGUUCGGGUUGUAUUUAUGAAUUUUCAUUUCUAAGAUCUAUGUAUUAACUUGUGAAUUAGAUUGAUAGUACUAGGCUGUUGGUUAAUUGAGAGUAGGAGUAAAAAAGGAAAUUUGACUCCAGGUAUGUAUGGCUAACUUUAACCCUAGUAAAGUCACCCUGUUUGGUGUACAAGUAAGUGGUAUGUAUUACUUAUGUAGAAUAUUUGUGAGUUUUGGUUGUUUCACGGGUGUCAAGGCAAGAUGGCCUAUUUCAUGAAUUCUUAUGAUUAAUAUAUCUUGAACGUUAUUGGUUAAACGUCCCGAUAAGAUGGUGUAAACAAAUGGCAACAAGCCAAGUGUGUGUGUGAAUAUGUUCAUGUGGUAAGGGCUGUAUAAUAAAUGAUGGAAAGAAGUCGUAGUUGAUGUUAAUAAAAAAACUCUUUGUGAAUUGUUAUUGUUGUUGUGAAAAGAUAUUAUGGAUGGCCUAAAUCCAUGUGAUUGAACUAUGAACUAUUGUUGUGUUGUAAGAUAUUGAUUGUCUGGUAGGAUCAGGUUGCAUGCCGCAACACGAAGUUAUAAGGUGUGAGUUGUGCUGAUAAGGGUGACCGACGUAAUAAGGGUGGAAAAGUAAUCAUAAUCACUAUUGAAAUGAAAAUAUAUGAAACACUUGAGUAUGGAAUGAUGUUGAAGGGGAAAAGGAGAGAUUGUGAAACUUGUUGGCCUUGGGUUGUUCCUUUCAUGUGCAUUUAAUUGUUAAUCAUAUUACAGUUUGUUAUCUGUGUAUUGAUUGGUUUUACUUGGGGUAAAGUUUGUUCAUACAUACCAGUACAAUUCGAAUGUACUGACGACCUUUUUGCCGAGGGUGCUAUAUUCUUGUUAUGACUGUAGGUUGUUCCAUAGCAGGUACUUUUGUACACCAACAGUAGUACCUCCUCCACCUUCCGUCAACUGUAUUGGUGAGCCACUUUCCUCUCGGGUCCUUACGUGGAUCUUGCCGCUUCACUUCCUGGAGUCUUAUAUUGGUAUUUGUGUAGGGUAUAGCGAUAGCUUCGUUACUGGUGAGUAUUGUAAAACCAUUUUGUACCCGUAGAUGCUCCGUAGACAAGAAAUGUGAGUAAUGUACUUAUGUAUUCGGGCAGUGUAACUUGUAGAUCACGUAAAGUAAGCAUGUGUGUUAUGUAUAUUUUGUAAGAAUGUGUUUGACUAUAAAUGGCUAUUUCACAUGAAUAAUGAGUAUUGAGAUCACGGGGUAACACGGGGGAUAGGAAAGGCACCCAGGUCUACUUGAUUGGGGCUACCCGGUCGAGUGCCAAUCAUGUCCCUCAGUUUUGGGGCAUGACAAACUUGGUAUCAGAGCCUACUAUUUUAAAAGAGUCCUAGGAUGUCUCGGCUCCGUGUCUAGUAGAGCCCUUUUUAUCGGUAUGUUGUCGACCGCAUUUAUAAGUAGGGGGAUACAUGGACAUUUAGGAAGUUACCCUCCUAUUUUUUAUUCUAUAUCGUGCAGUGAAGUGAAAAGUGAAAGUAUUUUUGUCUAAAUCGUGCUUUGUUCCGAAAUUUUCAGUAAUGGCACCUAAGAAGAGAGCUAAACUUGGCCUUGGGGCCAAUGCCACCCAAAGUGACUCCCUGAUCUUGAAUCUACCUGGCCCGUCUAUCCCAGAUCAAAGUAUUCCUGUUCCUGUGGCGGUAGAGGGUGCUACCAUCCGUCCUGCCAAUAUUCUUGAUUUUGACGCAGUUCCAGCUUCCAGUCCCGGAGUUUCUGAUGGGGACCUUUGAGGAGCCAUCCAUAUGUUGACCCAGUUAGUGGCAGCUCAGGUCUAGAGAUCUCAUGAUGCCCAUGUGUCCUCCAGAAAAUAGGGAGACUCCUCCAGCUCCAGACUAAACCAUUAUUUAUGGUUAGCCCCUCAAGAGUUCAUAGGGACAGACCUAGAGGCCAAUCCGCACGAUUCCUUGAUGAAAUGUAUAGGACCCUUCGAGUGAUGAAGGCUACAGAGAUGGAGAGAGUUGAGUUAGCUUCACACGGGUUGAUGGGAGCAGCGUAUUCGUGGUUCGAGAUGUGGGAGGAUUCCCGUGGGGAAGAAAGUCCUCCGACUCGAUGGGAUGAGUUUGUAGAUGCAUUUAUGGACCACUUCUUGCCUGCCGAGACAAUGGAAGCCCAUGCCACUGAGUUUAUGCCCUUAAGUAGGGUAGCAUGAGUGCUUCGGAGUACCACAUACAGUUUGUGAGAUUGUCCAAGUAUGCUCCUCAAAUAUUGUCGACCAUGGAUGCUUGAGUUCAACGAUUCGUUCAGGGCCUUAGUCCUUUGGUGGUGAAUGAGGCUGCUAUAAUGGCCUUACCCUUGAAUAUGAAUUAUGGAAAGGUUGUAGGAUUCUCUCAGGCCACAGAGGCUAAAAAGUUGAAGAUACGGGCGGAAAGGGAGAGUAGUAGCAGAGCCCGAUUAGUGGGUCACUCAGGGAGACUAGUUUAGGGGAGAGGGCCAUCAGAGCCAUCCCAGUCAUAUGCUCAAUCUUCACCAAGCAGACCGCCAUCUGUGCGCAGUUAUCAGCAGAGCAGUCACUUGAGACUAGGUUCAAACAGUAGGAGAACCCAUCAAUCCGAUCGUCCAGAAGGGAAAUUAUAGCAGCAGGGGACAACUCCAUGCCCAAUGUGUGGGAGGUUCCAUUCUGAGACUUGUUAUUUGGAUAUCCCAGUAUGCAAUAGAUGCGGGGUGAGAGGUCAUAUCCAGCGGGACUGUCGUGUGCCCAGUCCGAUCAUGGGUAGGGGAUUUGCUCGGUCAUCCGGUUCUUCAGCCGCCCCAUUAUUCGUGCAUCCUCCAGCUCCAGCAGGGCAUGGUGUAGUUCGUGGUAGGGCUCGUGGUAAAGGUGGACCCAGCCGGUUUUAUGCUUUUCGUGGUCGCCAGAGUGUAGAGGCUUCUCCAGAUGUUGUUAUAGGUAUCUUAUCUGUUCAUGCCAUUGAUUGUUAUGCUCUUAUUUAUAUGGGGUCCUCUUUGUCUUAUGCCACCCCAUUCAUUGCUUUAAUUUUUCGGAUAGAACCCGAACAACUUCAUGAGCCAUUCUCCGUAUCGACUACGGUUGGUGAUUCUAUUACAGCUGUGUAAGUUUACAAGAAUUGUGUUGUUGUGGUAUGUGAUCGUGUUACCACGCCCGAUCUUAUCGAGCUUGGUAUGGUGGAUUUUGACGUGUUUGUGGGAAUGGACUGGCUUUAUUUGUGCUUUGCUAAACUUGACUGUCGAACGAGAAUAAUGAGACUUGAGUUCCCUAAUAAGCCGGUUAUUGAGUGUAAGGGGAAUGGUGUUGUGUCGAAGGGUAGGUUUAUUUCUUACCUUAAGGAUUCGAAGAUGAUUAUGACGGGGUGUAUUUAUCAUUUGGCCCGGGUGGCAGAGACCACUUCAGAAGUGUCUAUCCCUGAGUCUGUACCACUCAUGAAUGAUCUUUUUGAAGUGUUUCCGGACGAGCUUCCAGGGAUUCUGCCAGAUAGGGAGAAUGAUUUUGGGAUUUAUGUAUUUCCAGAUACGCAGCUAAUAUCUAUUCCACCAUACAUAAUGGCGCUAGCGUAGUUAAGGGAGUUAAAGGAGCAGCUGAAAGAUUUAUUAGAAAAAGAGUUCAUUCAGCUGAGUGUGUCGCUGUGGGGUGCUCCGAUUCUUUUUGUUAGAAAGAAUGAUGGGUCGCUCCAGAUGUGUAUUGAUUAUCGCCAGCUCAACAUAGUUGUCAGAAAGAAGGAUGGGUCGAUAGAUGAUUUUUUUGCAAGGUGCAAGGUUCUUCUCCAAAAUUGAUCUAUAGUCAGGGUAUCACCAAUGGAGGAUUAGAGAGUAGGAUAUUCCUAAGACCGCUUUCAGAACUCGCUAUGGUCACUUUGAAUUCUUGGUCAUGCCUUUUGGGCUAACCAAUGCCCCGACAACUUUCUUGGAUCUUAUGAAUCGGGUCUUCAAGCCAUUUCUAGAAUCUUUUGUUAUUGUUUUUAGUGGUGACAUCCUUGUUUAUUCACGGAGCCGAGAGGAUCAUGCUGAUCACCAUAGGGGAGUUCUGCAGACUCUUCAUUAGCACCAGUUAUAUGCUAAAUUUUCAAAAUCUGAAUUUUGGUUGGAAUCCGUUACCUUUCUGGGUCAUGUUCUUUCCAGUGCAGGGGUUCAGGUGUACCCCUAGAAGAUUGUAGCAGUGAAAGAUUGGCCUAGACCCAUGACCCCGAUAGAGAUAUGUAACAUCUUUGGUUUAGCAGGGCAUUAUCAGAGGUUCGCGGAGGGAUUCGCUACCCUCGCCUCCCCAUUGACUAAGUUGACGCAGAAAGUAGUUAAGUUCCAAUGGUCCGACGCUUGUGAGAAAUGUUAUCAGGAAUUGAAGUCGAGGUUGGCCUCGGCGCUGAUAUUGACCUUGCCAGAAGGCACGGAAGGAUAUGCAGUUUAUUGCAAUGCCUCCAGGAUUGGUUUGGGGUGUGUGUUGAUGCAACAUGGGAAGGUUAUAGCAUAUGCUUCAAGGCAACUCAAAAAUCACGAGAAGAAUUAUCGGACGCAUGAUUUGGAGCUUGUGCAAUUGUAUUUGCCUUGAAAAUAUGGCGGCAUUAUCUUUAUGGGGUCCAUGUGGAUGUGUUCUCAUACCACAAGAGUCUCCAAAAAAUUUUCAAGCAGAAGGAGUUAAUCUUGAGGCAGCGGCAGUGGUUUGAAAUGCUUAAAGGCUAUGAUAUGAACAUCUUGUACCAUAUAGGGAAGGCGAACGUGGUGGCCGACGCCCUUAGUCGGAAAUCCAUGGGUAGUUUGGCUCACUUAAGCUUGCAGAUGUUGUGGUUGCCUUGAAAAUAUGGUGCCAUUAUCUUUAUGGGGUCUGUGUGGAUGUGUUCUCAGACCACAAGAGUCUCCAACCUUUGUUCAGGCAGAAGGAGUUGAAUUUAAGGCACCGACGGUGGUUAGAAUUGCUCAAGGAUUAUGAUAUGAACAUUUUGUAUCAUCCAGGGAAAGUGAAUGUGGUGGCCGAUGCUUUCAAUCAGAAGUCUAUGGGUAGUUUGUCUCAUUUGGGAGCGGAUCAGAGGCCCUUGGCUCGAGAGGUUUAUCAAUUAGCCAGUCUGGGGGUUUGUAUUUCGACCUCAGACAAGGGGAAUGUUAUUAUGCAUAAUAGACAAGAAUCAUCACUUGUAGCGGAAGCCAAGGAAAAGCAGUUUAUUGAUCUAGAAUCGGCACGGAUGAAGGAGGCAAUUCUGAAUAACAAGACUUCAGCAUUUUCA